RNAcentral lists this ribosomal RNA (468 nucleotides) under uncultured bacterium. RNAcentral describes it as "partial 16S ribosomal RNA". It matches the Rfam family "Bacterial small subunit ribosomal RNA", at positions 28 to 507 of the family's 1533-position model. The record is from RNAcentral.
GACGAACGCUGGCGGCGUGCUUAACACAUGCAAGUCGAACGGAAAGGCCCGGCUUUUGUGGCGUUCUCGAGUGGCGAACGGGUGAGUAACACGUGAGUAACCUGCCCUUGACUUUGUGAUAACUUCAGGAAACUGGGGCGAAUACCCGAUAGGAUCUCCUGCUGCAUGGGGGGGGUUGGAAAGUGUCGGCGGUUGGGGAUGGACUCGCUGGUUAUCCGCUUGUUGGUGAGGUAGUGGCUUACCAAGGGUUUGACGGGUAGCCGGCCUGAGAGGGUGAACGGCCACAUUGGGACUGAGAGAGGGACCAGACUCCUACGGGAGGCAGCAGUGGGGAAUUUUGCGCAAUGGGCGGAAGCCUGAUGCAGCAACGCCGGGUGCGGGAUGACGGCUUUCGGGUUGUAAACCGAUUUCGACUGUGCCGAAGCGUGAGUGACGGUAAUGGGUAAAGAAGCACCGGCUAACUACGUG